This 460-nucleotide ribosomal RNA is filed under the name uncultured bacterium. Its description in RNAcentral is "partial 16S ribosomal RNA". It matches the Rfam family "Bacterial small subunit ribosomal RNA", at positions 338 to 795 of the family's 1533-position model. The record is from RNAcentral.
CCUACGGGAGGCAGCAGUGAGGAAUAUUGGUCAAUGGACGAGAGUCUGAACCAGCCAAGUAGCGUGAAGGAUGACUGCCCUAGGGGUGGUAAACAUCUUUUAUAUGGGAAUAAAACGUUCCAUGUGUGGGAUUUUGUAUGUACCAUAUGAAUAAGGAUCGGCUAACGCCGUGCCAGCAGCCGCGGUAAUACGGAGGAUCCGAGCGUUAUCCGGAUUUAUUGGGUUUAAAGGGAACGUAGGUGGAUUGUUAAGUCAGUUGUGAAAGUUUGCGGCUCAACCGUAGAAUUGCAGUUGAAACUGGCAGGCUAGAGUACAGUAGAGGGGGGCGGAAUUCGUGGUGUAGCGGUGAAAUGCUUAGAUAUCACGAAGAACUCCGAUGGCGAAGGCGGUUCACUGGACUGCAACUGACACUGAGGCUCGAAAGUGUGGGUAUCAAACAGGAUUAGAUACCCCUGUAGUC